UGAACGUAACGCACGUAGACGGGGUGGAAAUAUGAUGUAGUUAGAUAAUCACUUUCAUUUUAAUUAAUAGGUCUUUUUUUUAAAGGAUCUUCGAAACAUUUGGGAAAUCCAUUCAGACUCGCUCGUCUGCUGACUGUCUGCGCACGUCUCUGAUUGUUUACGUUGAUCUGGAUCAGGAAACAUCCCGCUUCCUCAACUAUAAGCAAUCGCCAUGGAGGUAUGCAAUGUUCCAGCAGGCUGUCAAAUGUCCUGCUCGUUUUAUGGGUGCAAGAGGACCUACAAUAGUCCAGAAGCACUGAAUAGUCAUCUUCAAGACCAUCAGAAAAACACUGCCCAGUCUCUUCCAGGAAAAACUUUCCUAUGCUCUCAUAUAGGAUGUGAUGGUUCAUUCAACAACAUGCAGCAGCUGAUGGAACAUAUGAGGCACCACCACAAGCCAAAUUAUUUUUUCCUGUGCGAGAGCUGCAGGGCCAAACUGCGUUCUUACCGCACCCUUCUCAAACACCUGCAGACCUGUGCUAAAGUUGCUAAAAACAAGGCUGCAAAGAUCGAGACUGGAGUGGCACCUGACGCCGAUCCCGCCAAUGCCCCUCCCACAUCCGGAGACAUGGAAUCAUCUGGACCCCCCUUAGCCCAAAAUGCGCCUGAGGAGAUGGAGUCUAUGCCAUCUAUGCCCACUUUGCCCGCAAAUCCAACACCGGCAAACAUGCCAGUAACCCAGCGCCCCCCAGAAAACAAUGCAUUUGCUAACCUCACACCUGUAGGGCCUGCAACUAUGCCCCUUGCCACUCUAAAUCCUGCCUUAACCCAAAAUCUUCCUGGCCAGCCAGAAUCUCCCUACAGCUCCUUUCCACCCACUCUGUCUCCUGUUAACCAAGCCUUCCAGGCAGAUCCGGGCCUACAGCAGCAGCAGAGGUCUCCUAGGUCCGGUCCUCCCAGUCUGCCCGCUUCACCGCCCCUGCCGUCACCGCCAGGAUCAAACGCAGUCUGGAGGAAGAACCAAGACCCGCCCGGGCCCCUUUUGCACAGAUGGAACUCUCCGAGCAGUCAGAGUUUAAAUAGAGAUGAAGUCCAGGUCAGUCCUUCAACUGCCGUAUCCUGUGGGAGCACACAAGAGGUCGGUACUGUUGUCUACAGUGCGGCCACUGCACCCCAGACCGGGGGGAGAUGACCGCUCACAUUGAGGGCCAGCACAAGAACCCGGGGGGCAAAGUGAACAAUGAUCAUGAUACAGAGAUUGGCACCGCAUCUUUACUGGCUAAGACUUCGCUGCACUCUGAGAACUCAACUUAUACACAGCUCUAACAUGAAAUGAGAUGCUAAACCUGCUGUUUGACAAAGAACUUUUGUAGUAGCGUUUUAUACAGAAACUCAGUGUUUUCAUUUUACUGACUUCAGACAUCUCUGUGGUCUCGAUUUGUCAAUAUCACUUUUAAAACACAUGAAGUUCUGCAUGCCUUAUUGCCAGUAAGCAUUUAUAAGUCAUCUAGACUAAGAACAUUUUCACACUGGCAUAUAAAUAAACAGUAAUGUUGUAAUAUUAUGUCACCUACUUUUUUGUUUGACCUUUUUACAGUAGGCAGUAUCUCCAAUAUGGAGUAUUCAUGUUAAACUUAAAUGUGUCAAUUAAAAAACAUAAAAUGAUGCCAAAUGUUCAGUCUGUUUCAGUUUAUUCAAUAAACAGUUUUGUGUUUUGUUUCA
Molecule: RNA transcript, 1701 nt
Organism: Labeo rohita (rohu)
Lineage: Eukaryota; Metazoa; Chordata; Actinopteri; Cypriniformes; Cyprinidae
Gene: znf414
Gene name: zinc finger protein 414
Exons: 9
Source: RefSeq, a predicted model, not a curated record